GUGGUUUUGCCUAUUUUGCAGUAGGAUAAAAAAAAAAAAAUUGUAAUGCAACUGUUCGUGUUUGAAUACCUAAUUGAUCUUUCAAACGUGUAUUUCUCAAGUGUGACAUUCGAUUUGUUAACAUUUAUGGUGACGGAUAAACCUCAUCAAAGUCUUGGCUAAUAUCUCUAUCGCCAGCAGUGGUUUUAGCUCCGUCUUCAAUUUCAUAAUAUCGCUCAAUUCAGAUUUGACCGACCUCUCUCUCUCUCUCUCUCACAUUUCGUUUAAACAAUAUCAUUUAAAUAACGACGGGGUUUGGUUCCGCUUUCCAACGCGAUUACACGCCCUCCGUUCCAAAAAAGGUUUCACCCUGCGAUCAAGAUCAAUCUCUCUCCCAGACUCACGUUUACCUUUGAACCCCGGCGGUGGCUUUAGGAGCGUGACACCACUCCAUCCACCUUUAUAAACCAACGUGAACUUCUAUCCAGACAGGCACGAUCCCUGGAUCAAAUUCUUCAACAUGAUGGGGAAUUUCUGGAGCCAGUAGAUCUUUUAUAUGACGGAGAGAUGUGGCUGCAUGCCGAAAUAGCACCCUAUUCUCUAUGUAGUAAACUAUUGUUGACCAGGGCCCGGUGGGUAGUAGUGCAGUACAUAGACUAUAGGGUGCUAUUUGGAAUGUAGACAAUGGACUUCCAAUGAGGUGGGGGGAGGAGGACUUCAUCGCCUUUUAGGAACUAUCAGGUUUUUUCCUGUGUUUGAUUUAGUCUACAGAAACAGUAGUUAGUCUAUAAAUGGACUGGUGGGGUGAGAAAGAGAGAGAGGGAGAGAGAGAGAGAGAGAGAGAGAGAGAGAGAGAGAGAGAGAGAGAGAGAGAGAGAGAGAGAGAGAGAAAGAGAGAGAGAGAGAGAGAGAGAGAGAGAGAGAGAGAGAGAGAGAGAGAGAGAGAGAGAGAGAGAGAGAGAGAGGCAGUAGAGUUGGAAAGUGAUUUGAUUCACAGGAGAGAGAGGAGGAUAAUUUUCCCAGCAUGGGUCUGGUUCUAGUUUUAAUGUUGUGCUAUUGUCAAGGGUUUUACAUGGCUGUAACUUCUGAUAUGACCAUACCUGCUGCUGAGAGAAGAGUGGAGAUCUAGGGCUGCUGCUGAGAGAAGAGUGGAGAUCUAGGGCUGCUGCUGAGAGGAGUGGAGAUCUAGGGCUGCUGCUGAGAGGAGUGGAGAUCUAGGGCUGCUGCUGAGAGA
RNAcentral lists this long non-coding RNA (1213 nucleotides) under Salmo salar (Atlantic salmon). RNAcentral describes it as "lncRNA (ENSSSAG00000110209.1)". Lineage: Eukaryota; Metazoa; Chordata; Actinopteri; Salmoniformes; Salmonidae. The record is from RNAcentral.